CCCCUCCGCCCUCGGCAGGGCCUCAUUGCGCCACGCCAGCGGCCUCCACCGCCCCCCGGCUCCGCCAGCCCCAGGCAGAGCCCACUGGACCCCGUCAGGCGCGGAGCUGCAGCAGCGGGAUGGGCCUCACCCCUGCCGCGGGCGGGGAGAGCAGGCACCGCCUCUCUCGCUUCCCCCGGCCCCGCCCCUCGAGCCUCAGAAGAACCAUCUCAAGCAUUGGUCCAGCUCUCUCCCAAGGAGCCGCGGCAGGGAGCCUCAGAGCUGAGCAGAAGAGUCCAGGAGGGGGAGAAGCCGGUAGUGAACUUGGAGACCACACCCAAGCAGAAAAGAGCAGAGUCCAAUUCAACCCCGAAGCCUGAGAGCGCUGGGAA
RNAcentral lists this long non-coding RNA (371 nucleotides) under Ailuropoda melanoleuca (giant panda). Its description in RNAcentral is "lncRNA (ENSAMEG00000026566.1)". Lineage: Eukaryota; Metazoa; Chordata; Mammalia; Carnivora; Ursidae. The record is from RNAcentral.